AUGGUAACGGUGACAUCAGUCACUUCAUCCAAACCAACCGUGUUUCCUCUGAUGCAAUGCGGGUCUGAGACUGCAAACACCGUCACUCUUGGCUGCCUUGCCACUGGCUUCUCGCCCUCCUCGGUGACCUACGCGUGGAGCAAAGCUGGAACUGCCUUGACGGACUUCAUCCAGUAUCCUCCAGUAGAGAAGAGUGGUGUUUAUACAGGAAUCAGUCAAAUCAAAGUGAACAAAGAGGACUUGGAUGCAAAGCAGCCCUUUAAAUGCAUCGCAUCAAACACAGCAGGAGACGGAGAGGGGAUUUUCAUCGUGACACAUUUUGCACCAAAGCAGUACGAGUUCAAAUGGCUGAAAAACGAUGGGGUAAUCCCCCACGACACAUAUGUGGACCAAACUCCUGCCAAAGAAAAAAAGACAGAGAAUGGAACUCUGUACAGUGCAGCAAGUUUCCUCACAGUACCAGCCAGCGAGUGGACUCAAGACACCAAGUAUGUAUGCGAGUUUAAGGGGAAAGGAGGACUGACUCAGCGUCCAUCAGUGUUUAUGCUGCCUCCGUUAGAACAUACUAGAAAAGAAAUGGUGACCUUGUCUUGCUAUGUGAAAGACUUCUACCCCAAGGAGGUUUAUGUGUCUUGGCUUGUUGAUGACGAGAAAGCAGACUCAAAGUACGGGUUCCAUACCACAAAACCUGUAGAAAACCAAGGAUCUUAUUCGGCAUAUAGCCAGUUAUCCCUCAGCUUCGAGCAGUGGAACAAGAGUGAUGCAGUGUUUAGUUGUGUAGUAUACCACGAGUCUCUGACUAACACAACUAAAGCUAUUGUCAGGUCCAUUGGGUCCAAAACCUCUCAAAACAUCAACCUGGUCAACCUCAACAUGAACAUCCCUGAAACGUGCAAGGCCCAGUAG
Non-coding RNA from Labrus bergylta (ballan wrasse), 906 nucleotides. NCBI's taxonomy places the organism in Eukaryota, Metazoa, Chordata, Actinopteri, Labriformes, Labridae. The record is from the annotation of a RefSeq genome assembly.